Molecule: non-coding RNA, 1391 nt
Organism: Styela clava
Lineage: Eukaryota; Metazoa; Chordata; Ascidiacea; Stolidobranchia; Styelidae
Source: RefSeq, a predicted model, not a curated record
UCCUGGAAUUUAGGUAAACUCCCAGCAUUGUCUUCUUCUGAAGAAAUCUAAUUAUCAAAUUUCUGACGCUUUAUUUAAUUUUCCAGCUCCAGAAAGAAGACGUGACAAUCGUGCUCUGGGGUCAUUCACUCGGCUCGUACAUCAGCACGAGGGCGCUAUCGCUUAUGUACGGCCAGAAAGAUGGCACUCGACUCACCGACUGUCUUAUACUUGAAGCUCGGUUCACGAAUACAUACGAUGCCGCGGACUGCUUUCCACUGUCUAAGUAUUUCUAUCGGCUCUAUCCUUUCAUGAGGUCUUCACAAGAAUAUCAAACAAUAUGACAUUGAGCUCAGGACUGAGAAGUAUCUGCCGACAAUAAAAGCUCCUGUUAUGAUUUUACAUGCUAAAGAUGAUCAGAGAAUAGACAUUCAUCUAGGCGAGACUUUGUACAAGAAGACGACCUCUGACCUCACGACAAAAUCUUCUUACAUUCGCUUCAUUCGAAUGCAGUGAAGCACUAUACUGCUAAGCAUCCUGAGAUAAGGCAGUUAGUGCAUGAUUUCAUGGUUGAAGUAGCAAAGGUCAAAGGUGAUCAGGAACAAAGAUGUAAAAAUAGAUUUGAACUGCGGCCCACGGGCCAGUUACGGCUAACCGAAGUGUUUCAUCCGGCCCACUUGUGCCUAUAUCAAUUAUGACUAUGGUUUUCAUGGCUAUAAAUUUGCGUUGGAUAUUUCGAUGAAAAUAACGAAUCAUCGGCUAAAAUAUAGAUCACGUAUUAUUUGCACCUGAAUAUAAUUGUGCCACUUGGUACACUGGCUGUUUGUUGUACAUUAGCUGUUAUGCUUGUUAUUUGCAAAUGAAAUGUUUUGAGUCUCCAGUGACCAAAUCUAUUAUUUGUGACUGGCCCACUGAGAAAAAUAAUUGCCCGCCCCUGACUUAGAAUAUCAUUUCAUAUUGGUCAAAGUAACUUAAUUAAUCAUAGUCUAUUAUUAUGUGUACCAGGUUAGGGUCAGGCCAUAAUUUCAGGUACAAAUGCUAUGGGAUUCACUUGUCUAGUUCUCGAAUUCGUAAUAGAACUAAAAUAAGGAAAAUUGGAAUAAAAUUAUGGCCUAACCCUUUCCUGGUACACAUACUCCGGGAGUACCCUAUUUUCCUGUGAAGUUACAAAGGACAACUACUGUUAUUAACGUCCAGCAUUAUAACCGUUCAUGUUCAUUCACUCACUACACUGUGGGGUAUCUAUUGAUUUUAAAUCAAACUUAGCUUCCCCAUUGUUCUGGCACUGUACCAAUUUUAUUUAUAUCUCUCUAUCGCAAACAGACCCAACAUUUGAAACCAAUAUUUAUGUGCAUGCAAUUGCGUUUCUUGUUAUAGUUGUAAAAUGCUUGUCUGAAGAAGUCUGACCUCGG